This 525-nucleotide unclassified non-coding RNA is filed under the name uncultured Glomeromycotina. RNAcentral's name for it is "SSU rRNA". It matches the Rfam family "Eukaryotic small subunit ribosomal RNA", at positions 571 to 1092 of the family's 1831-position model. Lineage: Eukaryota; Fungi; Glomeromycota. The record is from RNAcentral.
CAGCCGCGUAAUUCCAGCUCCAAUAGCGUAUAUUAAAGUUGUUGCAGUUAAAAAGCUCGUAGUUGAAUUUCGGGAUUGACACAUCGGUCGUGCCUUAAGGGGUAUGAACUGGUGUAGUCAAUUUCUCACCUUCUGGAGAACCGCGAUGCCCUUAAUUGGGUGCCGCGGGGAACCAGGACCUUUACUUUGAAAAAAUUAGAGUGUUUAAAGCAGGCAUUUUGCUUGAAUACAUUAGCAUGGAAUAAUAAAAUAGGACGGCAUGAUUCUAUUUUGUUGGUUUCUAGGAUCACCGUAAUGAUUAAUAGGGAUAGUUGGGGGCAUUAGUAUUCAAUUGUCAGAGGUGAAAUUCUUGGAUUUAUUGAAGACUAACUACUGCGAAAGCAUUUGCCAAGGAUGUUUUCAUUAAUCAAGAACGAAAGUUAGGGGAUCGAAGACGAUCAGAUACCGUCGUAGUCUUAACCAUAAACUAUGCCGACUAGGAAUCAGACGAUGUUAAUUUUUUAAUGACUCGUUUGGCACCUUACG